CAGUAGCCACGGUAAAACCGAGGGUGCAAGCGUUAAUCGGAAUUACUGGGCGUAAAGCGCGCGUAGGUGGUUUGUUAAGUUGGAUGUGAAAUCCCCGGGCUCAACCUGGGAACUGCAUCCAAAACUGGCAAGCUAGAGUAUGGUAGAGGGUGGUGGAAUUUCCUGUGUAGCGGUGAAAUGCGUAGAUAUAGGAAGGAACACCAGUGGCGAAGGCGACCACCUGGACUGAUACUGACACUGAGGUGCGAAAGCGUGGGGAGCAAACAGGAUUAGAUACCCCAGUAGUCCCUGUCUCUUAUAC
RNAcentral lists this ribosomal RNA (301 nucleotides) under uncultured bacterium. Its description in RNAcentral is "partial 16S ribosomal RNA". It matches the Rfam family "Bacterial small subunit ribosomal RNA", at positions 509 to 807 of the family's 1533-position model. The record is from RNAcentral.